Molecule: unclassified non-coding RNA, 244 nt
Filed under: plant metagenome
Description: partial contains small subunit ribosomal RNA, internal transcribed spacer 1, and 5.8S ribosomal RNA
Source: RNAcentral
UCUCCGUUGGUGAACCAGCGGAGGGAUCAUUACCGAGUUUACAACACCCAAACCCAAUGUGAACCAUACCAAACUGUUGCCUCGGCGGGGUCACGCCCCGGGUGCGUCGCAGCCCCGGAACCAGGCGCCCGCCGGAGGGACCAACCAAACUCUUUCUGUAGUCCCCUCGCGGACGUUAUUUUUACAGCUCUGAGCAAAAAUUCAAAAUGAAUCAAAACUUUCAACAACGGAUCUCUUGGUUCUG